This is a long non-coding RNA of Sipha flava (yellow sugarcane aphid), 518 nucleotides long. RefSeq lists it as uncharacterized. NCBI's taxonomy places the organism in Eukaryota, Metazoa, Arthropoda, Insecta, Hemiptera, Aphididae. The record is from RefSeq and is a predicted model, not a curated record. The transcript is spliced from 3 exons.
GAGAGGCUGUUUUUGAUUAGUAGUAAAUUCGUAACAAAUAAUUCGAGUUUUGUUUAGCACGUCUUGUACCGUCGAUUUGAGAAGGUAUCCAGUUACUAUUGUACCAUUUCCAGGCCCGGCUCAAGGGGUAGGCGACAUAGGCCCACGCCUAGGGCGGCAUUUUUCCUGGAAAAUUUUUAUAGCCGGGCCUGACCAUUUCUGUUACUGGUCUCUAUAUUGUAUCUUCUGGUCACCAUUCGCUUCCACAUAAUUUAUCAUGGUGUGUUUGUGUUUACGAAAGAGUCAGUAUGUGCAGCUGUUUCCCUGGUGGGAUCUGGGACCUGCAAUCACAGAUAAAUAUACUGACUUAGAAUGUAUAUCUGUGACUGCAAUUUAGAUUUGACUCCUUGACCUUGAAGGUCUGAUCUAUGUUACAAUACAUAGGACCAAUAUCAAACUCUGGUCUACAAGGACUGCCAUUGUGAUGAAACAUCUUUGUGUAGGUGUACGUCCACUAUCGCAUUAAACUAUGACAAGAA